Molecule: ribosomal RNA, 492 nt
Filed under: uncultured bacterium
Lineage: Bacteria
Description: partial 16S ribosomal RNA
Rfam family: Bacterial small subunit ribosomal RNA
Source: RNAcentral
AGUGAACGCUGGCGGUAGGCCUAACACAUGCAAGUCGAACGGCAGCACAGUAAGAGCUUGCUCUUACGGGUGGCGAGUGGCGGACGGGUGAGGAAUACAUCGGAAUCUACUUUUUCGUGGGGGAUAACGUAGGGAAACUUACGCUAAUACCGCAUACGACCUACGGGUGAAGGCAGGGGAUCUUCGGACCUUGCGCGAUUGAAUGAGCCGAUGUCGGAUUAGCUAGUUGGCGGGGUAAAGGCCCACCAAGGCGACGAUCCGUAGCUGGUCUGAGAGGAUGAUCCGCCACACUGGAACUGAGACACGGUCCAGACUCCUACGGGAGGCAGCAGUGGGGAAUAUUGGACAAUGGGCGCAAGCCUGAUCCAGCCAUACCGCGUGGGUGAAGAAGGCCUUCGGGUUGUAAAGCCCUUUUGUUGGGAAAGAAAAGCAGCAGGUUAAUACCCCGCUGUUCUGACGGUACCCAAAGAAUAAGCACCGGCUAACUUCGUG